UGGGGAAUAUUGCACAAUGGGGGAAACCCUGAUGCAGCGACGCCGCGUGGAGGAAGAAGGUCUUCGGAUUGUAAACUCCUGUUGUUGAGGAAGAUAAUGACGGUACUCAACAAGGAAGUGACGGCUAACUACGUGCCAGCAGCCGCGGUAAAACGUAGGUCACAAGCGUUGUCCGGAAUUACUGGGUGUAAAGGGAGCGCAGGCGGGAAGACAAGUUGGAAGUGAAAUCCAUGGGCUCAACCCAUGAACUGCUUUCAAAACUGUUUUUCUUGAGUAGUGCAGAGGUAGGCGGAAUUCCCGGUGUAGCGGUGGAAUGCGUAGAUAUCGGGAGGAACACCAGUGGCGAAGGCGGCCUACUGGGCACCAACUGACGCUGAGGCUCGAAAGUGUGGGUAGCAAACAGGAUUAGAUACCCUGGUAGUCCACACUGUAAACGAUGAUUACUAGGUGUUGGAGGAUUGACCCCUUCAGUGCCGCAGUUAACACAAUAAGUAAUCCACCUGGGGAGUACGACCGCAAGGUUGAAACUCAAAGGAAUUGACGGGGGCCCGCACAAGCAGUGGAGUAUGUGGUUUAAUUCGACGCAACGCGAAGAACCUUACCAAGUCUUGACAUCCUGCGACGGACAUAGAAAUAUGUUUUUCCUUCGGGACGCAGAGACAGGUGGUGCAUGGUUGUCGUCAGCUCGUGUCGUGAGAUGUUGGGUUAAGUCCCGCAACGAGCGCAACCCUUAUGGUCAGUUACUACGCAAGAGGACUCUGGCCAGACUGCCGUUGACAAAACGGAGGAAGGUGGGGAUGACGUCAAAUCAUCAUGCCCUUUAUGACUUGGGCUACACACGUACUACAAUGGCGUUAAACAAAGAGAAGCAAGACCGCGAGGUGGAGCAAAACUCAGAAACAACGUCCCAGUUCGGACUGCAGGCUGCAACUCGCCUGCACGAAGUCGGAAUUGCUAGUAAUCGCAGAUCAGCAUGCUGCGGUGAAUACGUUCCC
This 995-nucleotide ribosomal RNA is filed under the name uncultured bacterium. RNAcentral describes it as "bacterial SSU rRNA". It matches the Rfam family "Bacterial small subunit ribosomal RNA", at positions 355 to 1375 of the family's 1533-position model. The record is from RNAcentral.